Molecule: ribosomal RNA, 850 nt
Filed under: Campylobacter coli
Lineage: Bacteria; Pseudomonadati; Campylobacterota; Epsilonproteobacteria; Campylobacterales; Campylobacteraceae
Also listed under: 1 other name
Description: bacterial SSU rRNA
Rfam family: Bacterial small subunit ribosomal RNA
Source: RNAcentral
GGUAAAAUCCGUAGAUAUCACCAAGAAUACCCAUUGCGAAGGCGAUCUGCUGGAACUCAACUGACGCUAAGGCGCGAAAGCGUGGGGAGCAAACAGGAUUAGAUACCCUGGUAGUCCACGCCCUAAACGAUGUACACUAGUUGUUGGGGUGCUAGUCAUCUCAGUAAUGCAGCUAACGCAUUAAGUGUACCGCCUGGGGAGUACGGUCGCAAGAUUAAAACUCAAAGGAAUAGACGGGGACCCGCACAAGCGGUGGAGCAUGUGGUUUAAUUCGAAGAUACGCGAAGAACCUUACCUGGGCUUGAUAUCCUAAGAACCUUUUAGAGAUAAGAGGGUGCUAGCUUGCUAGAACUUAGAGACAGGUGCUGCACGGCUGUCGUCAGCUCGUGUCGUGAGAUGUUGGGUUAAGUCCCGCAACGAGCGCAACCCACGUAUUUAGUUGCUAACGGUUCGGCCGAGCACUCUAAAUAGACUGCCUUCGUAAGGAGGAGGAAGGUGUGGACGACGUCAAGUCAUCAUGGCCCUUAUGCCCAGGGCGACACACGUGCUACAAUGGCAUAUACAAUGAGACGCAAUACCGCGAGGUGGAGCAAAUCUAUAAAAUAUGUCCCAGUUCGGAUUGUUCUCUGCAACUCGAGAGCAUGAAGCCGGAAUCGCUAGUAAUCGUAGAUCAGCCAUGCUACGGUGAAUACGUUCCCGGGUCUUGUACUCACCGCCCGUCACACCAUGGGAGUUGAUUUCACUCGAAGCCGGAAUACUAAACUAGUUACCGUCCACAGUGGAAUCAGCGACUGGGGUGAAGUCGUAACAAGGUAACCGUAGGAGAACCUGCGGUUGGAUCACCUCCUUU